This 72-nucleotide transfer RNA is filed under the name Fulmarus glacialis (Northern fulmar). It matches the Rfam family "tRNA". From Rfam's summary of the family: Transfer RNA (tRNA) molecules are approximately 80 nucleotides in length. Their secondary structure includes four short double-helical elements and three loops (D, anti-codon, and T loops). Further hydrogen bonds mediate the characteristic L-shaped molecular structure. tRNAs have two regions of fundamental functional importance: the anti-codon, which is responsible for specific mRNA codon recognition, and the 3' end, to which the tRNAs corresponding amino acid is attached (by aminoacyl-tRNA synthetases). tRNAs cope with the degeneracy of the genetic code in two manners: having more than one tRNA (with a specific anti-codon) for a particular amino acid; and 'wobble' base-pairing, i.e. permitting non-standard base-pairing at the 3rd anti-codon position. Lineage: Eukaryota; Metazoa; Chordata; Aves; Procellariiformes; Procellariidae. The record is from Rfam by way of RNAcentral.
GCGUUGGUGGUAUAGUGGUGAGCAUAGCAGCCUGCCAAGCAGUUGUCGCGAGUUAGAUUCCUGGCCAAUGCA